AGAGUUUGAUCAUGGCUCAGGAUGAACGCUAGCGAUAGGCCUAACACAUGCAAGUCGAGGGGCAUCACAUGAAGUAGCAAUACGGAUGGUGGCGACCGGCGCACGGGUGAGUAACGCGUAUGCAAUCUACCUACAACAAGGGGAUAACCCGUUGAAAGACGGACUAAUACCCUAUAAAACAGGGGUUCCGCAUGGGACUAUUUGUUAAAGAUUCAUCGGUUGUAGAUGAGCAUGCGUUCCAUUAGCUUGUUGGUGAGGUAACGGCCCACCAAGGCAACGAUGGAUAGGGGAACUGAGAGGUUUAUCCCCCACACUGGUACUGAGACACGGACCAGACUCCUACGGGAGGCAGCAGUGAGGAAUAUUGGUCAAUGGACGCAAGUCUGAACCAGCCACGUCGCGUGAAGGAAGACGGCCCUACGGGUUGUAAACUUUUUUUGUAAGGGAAUAAAGUGAGUCACGAGUGACUUUUUGCAUGUACCUUACGAAUAAGGAUCGGCUAACUCCGUGCCAGCAGCCGCGGUAAUACGGAGGAUCCGAGCGUUAUCCGGAUUUAUUGGGUUUAAAGGGUGCGCAGGCGGGAGAUUAAGUCGGCGGUGAAAUUUUGCAGCUCAACUGUAAAAGUGCCAUCGAUACUGGUUUUUCUUGAGUGUAGAUGAAGUAGGCGGAAUUUGCGGUGUACCGGUGAACUUGUAUAGAUAUCACGAGUAACUUCCUAUUGCGCCGGUCGUUUACU
Molecule: ribosomal RNA, 736 nt
Filed under: uncultured bacterium
Lineage: Bacteria
Description: bacterial SSU rRNA
Rfam family: Bacterial small subunit ribosomal RNA
Source: RNAcentral